Molecule: non-coding RNA, 82 nt
Organism: Sphaeramia orbicularis (orbiculate cardinalfish)
Lineage: Eukaryota; Metazoa; Chordata; Actinopteri; Kurtiformes; Apogonidae
Source: the annotation of a RefSeq genome assembly
GAUGAGGUGGCUGAGUGGUUAAAGUGAUGGACUGCCGAUCCAUUGUACUCUGCACACAUGGGUUCAAAUCACAACCUCUUCG